Molecule: long non-coding RNA, 199 nt
Filed under: Linum usitatissimum (flax)
Lineage: Eukaryota; Viridiplantae; Streptophyta; Magnoliopsida; Malpighiales; Linaceae
Description: long non-coding RNA (LUSI_LNC002875)
Source: RNAcentral
AAUCCUUAACUGGAUAGCGUCCAAAAAUUAAGAUAUUAUGUAACUAAUAAUUCUCCUCCCCAUUCUUUUUAAAUUAGGUUGGCUCGUUAUGUUAAAUAUCUCAUUAAGAUGUAUCUCGACCAAAAAUAAAAAUAAAUAAAAAAUAAUUUCAACUAUGAAUAAAAUGUCUGAAAAGGCCCCUUCACUUUUCAGAGAUGGC